GGCGAAGAAGUGGAUUUAAACACUCCUAUCUGGUGACUUGGUUCAUUUUCUUUGCAGCUGAUGAUAACAUCUGGCAGUAUCCAAAGUUCCAAUCCCAAUGAAAAUGUGAAUAGUUCUCAUACUGCCUCUGAAGAAGUUGACUUUUUCCAGAAAGUUCUUGAGUUCCCUGGAGAUGCCGGUUCGGUGGCAGGGGAAAGGCAAC
Long non-coding RNA from Mirounga angustirostris (Northern elephant seal), 202 nucleotides. RefSeq lists it as uncharacterized. The record is from RefSeq and is a predicted model, not a curated record. NCBI's taxonomy places the organism in Eukaryota, Metazoa, Chordata, Mammalia, Carnivora, Phocidae. The transcript has 3 exons.